This 716-nucleotide long non-coding RNA is filed under the name Ananas comosus (pineapple). RNAcentral describes it as "long non-coding RNA (ACOM_LNC033076)". Lineage: Eukaryota; Viridiplantae; Streptophyta; Magnoliopsida; Poales; Bromeliaceae. The record is from RNAcentral.
AAAAAUUAGUAUUGUUUUAAACGUUCAAGAUCUUGUGAGUACGCAAAUGAAAAGCAUAGAAAGCAACAUGAAAUAUUUGUAUAAUAUAGGGACUAUUCACAUAUUUUUCCUGCGGUCCAUAUUCCAUAAAGAGACAGAAAACUUUUGAGGGGCCUUCCUGUAAAAUUACCUGAACCACAUGGUCCAUAUCUAAACCCUACCGAACCCUAACUGCAACCUCUGCUUCUUCCCCGGCCCUCUCCUUCGCCAUCCCUUCCCGUCGCCGCCCCCGCAAGUGCUCUCUCUCUCUCUCUCUCAUAGGUACUUUUUCUCUCCUUUUUCCCUCACUCAUCGCCUCAUUUGAGAGAUGUAAUGAAAUAUGUAUAGUAAAUUAUUUCUUUACUUGCGAAAGAGGAGUUAUAUGUUAAUUGCACGACGUGAUAAUGUUAUGCUAUUGUACUAUUAGGUUUGGGGAUUUGUAUUGGUUUGCUCGUGCUCUCCUGCUUCUCUGUAGUUGGCUUUUUAUCGUUAUCCAGUGUUAAUGAGUUUCGAAUCUCAUAGUUAAUUCGCGAAUUAUUUGCGAAUUUUUGAAAUGCCGAAUUAAACACCCGUUUUCGAAUUUUUGCCAAAAAUUCGGAAUAAUUCGCUGUUUUUUGAGCAAAAAUAAUUAUUCGCGAAUAAAACGGAAUUCGCAAAUAAUUCGGCCAAAAAAAAUAGCCCUCUUGCUUGUCGACUGU